GAGGGGAUAGCUCAGUGGUAGAGUGUGUGUUUAGCAUGCACAAGGUCCUGGAUUCAAUCCCCAGUACCACCA
RNAcentral lists this transfer RNA (72 nucleotides) under Camelus bactrianus (Bactrian camel). It matches the Rfam family "tRNA". From Rfam's summary of the family: Transfer RNA (tRNA) molecules are approximately 80 nucleotides in length. Their secondary structure includes four short double-helical elements and three loops (D, anti-codon, and T loops). RNAcentral also lists the same sequence under 1 other name. Lineage: Eukaryota; Metazoa; Chordata; Mammalia; Artiodactyla; Camelidae. The record is from Rfam by way of RNAcentral.